GGGCCGGUAGCUCAGCGGUAGAGCAGCGAGCUCAUAACUCGACAGGCCUGGGUUCGAAUCCCGGCCGGCCCA
RNAcentral lists this transfer RNA (72 nucleotides) under Solirubrobacteraceae bacterium. RNAcentral's name for it is "tRNA-Ile". It matches the Rfam family "tRNA". From Rfam's summary of the family: Transfer RNA (tRNA) molecules are approximately 80 nucleotides in length. Their secondary structure includes four short double-helical elements and three loops (D, anti-codon, and T loops). Further hydrogen bonds mediate the characteristic L-shaped molecular structure. tRNAs have two regions of fundamental functional importance: the anti-codon, which is responsible for specific mRNA codon recognition, and the 3' end, to which the tRNAs corresponding amino acid is attached (by aminoacyl-tRNA synthetases). tRNAs cope with the degeneracy of the genetic code in two manners: having more than one tRNA (with a specific anti-codon) for a particular amino acid; and 'wobble' base-pairing, i.e. permitting non-standard base-pairing at the 3rd anti-codon position. Lineage: Bacteria; Bacillati; Actinomycetota; Thermoleophilia; Solirubrobacterales; Solirubrobacteraceae. The record is from RNAcentral.